Molecule: ribosomal RNA, 279 nt
Filed under: uncultured bacterium
Lineage: Bacteria
Description: partial 16S ribosomal RNA
Rfam family: Bacterial small subunit ribosomal RNA
Source: RNAcentral
UGCCAGCCGCCGCGGUAAUACGGAGGGUGCAAGCGUUGUUCGGAAUUAUUGGGCGUAAAGCGCGUGUAGGCGGUUCGUUAAGUCUGAUGUGAAAGCCCGGGGCUCAACCCCGGAAGUGCAUUGGAAACUGGCAGGCUAGAGUCUGGGAGGGGAUAGCGGAAUUCCGGGUGUAGAGGUGAAAUUCGUAGAUAUCCGGAGGAACACCAGAGGCGAAGGCGGCUAUCUGGACCAGUACUGACGCUGAGGAGCGAAAGCGUGGGGAGCAAACAGGAUUAGAUA